RNAcentral lists this non-coding RNA (29 nucleotides) under Rattus norvegicus (Norway rat). The record is from RNAcentral. Lineage: Eukaryota; Metazoa; Chordata; Mammalia; Rodentia; Muridae.
UGUCUAAAACUUACUGAUGGGUGCUGGGA